Molecule: ribosomal RNA, 410 nt
Filed under: uncultured bacterium
Lineage: Bacteria
Description: bacterial SSU rRNA
Rfam family: Bacterial small subunit ribosomal RNA
Source: RNAcentral
GCUAAACGCGAAGAACCUUACCAGGGUUUGAAAACUAGCUGCACGCCCUAAGAAACUAGGGCAGCCUUCGAGGGUGCUAGUCAGGUGGUGCAUGGCUGUCGUCAGCUCGUGCCGUGAGGUGUUCGGUUAAGUCCGGAAACGAGCGCAACCCCUGUCGUAUGUUAAUUUCCAUACGAGACUGCCGGCAUAUAGUCGGAGGAAGGUGGGGAGUGACGUCAAGUCCGCAUGUCCCUUUGUACACCCUGGGCGACACACGUGCUACAAUGGCCAGUAACAAUGGGCUGCAAAACCGUAAGGUCUAGCCAAUCCCACAAAACUGGUCUCAGUUCGGAUUGAGGGCUGAAACUCGCCCUCAUGAAGCCGGAAUCGCUAGUAAACGUGGGUCAGCUAUACUGCGGUGAAUACGUUCC